This 253-nucleotide ribosomal RNA is filed under the name uncultured bacterium. RNAcentral's name for it is "partial 16S ribosomal RNA". It matches the Rfam family "Bacterial small subunit ribosomal RNA", at positions 524 to 776 of the family's 1533-position model. The record is from RNAcentral.
UACGUAGGUUGCGAGCGUUGUCCGGAUUUAUUGGGCUUAAAGGGUGCGUAGGCGGCUUUGUAAGUCAGUGGUGAAAUACUCCAGCUUAACUGGAGGGGUGCCAUUGAUACUGCGGAGCUUGAGUACAGAUGAGGUAGGCGGAAUUGACGGUGUAGCGGUGAAAUGCAUAGAUAUCGUCAAGAACACCGAUAGCGAAGGCAGCUUACUGGGCUGUAACUGACGCUGAUGCACGAAAGUGUGGGGAUCAAACAGG